GAUUAUAGCCUUCGCAGUAUGACUUGCUGUUUUGGGAUGGCACAAGGUCCCAGAUUGUCACAGAUUAUAGCCUUCGCAGUAUGACUUGCUGUUUUGGGAUGGCACUUUUUCAAUGAGCACAAGGUCCCAGAUUGUCACAGAUUAUAGCCUUCGCAGUAUGACUUGCUGUUUUGGGAUGGCACUUUUUCAAUGAGCACAAGGUCCCAGAUUGUCACAGAUUAUAGCCUUCGCAGUAUGACUUGCUGUUUUGGGAUGGCACAAGGUCCCAGAUUGUCACAGAUUAUAGCCUUCGCAGUAUGACUUGCUGUUUUGGGAUGGCACAAGGUCCCAGAUUGUCACAGAUUAUAGCCUUCGCAGUAUGACUUGCUGUUUUGGGAUGGCACAAGGUCCCAGAUUGUCACAGAUUAUAGCCUUCGCAGUAUGACUUGCUGUUUUGGGAUGGCACAAGGUCCCAGAUUGUCACAGAUUAUAGCCUUCGCAGUAUGACUUGCUGUUUUGGGAUGGCACAAGGUCCCAGAUUGUCACAGAUUAUAGCCUUCGCAGUAUGACUUGCUGUUUUGGGAUGGCACAAGGUCCCAGAUUGUCACAGAUUAUAGCCUUCGCAGUAUGACUUGCUGUUUUGGGAUGGCACAAGGUCCCAGAUUGUCACAGAUUAUAGCCUUCGCAGUAUGACUUGCUGUUUUGGGAUGGCACAAGGUCCCAGAUUGUCACAGAUUAUAGCCUUCGCAGUAUGACUUGCUGUUUUGGGAUGGCACAAGGUCCCAGAUUGUCACAGAUUAUAGCCUUCGCAGUAUGACUUGCUGUUUUGGGAUGGCACAAGGUCCCAGAUUGUCACAGAUUAUAGCCUUCGCAGUAUGACUUGCUGUUUUGGGAU
Dreissena polymorpha is the source of this 874-nucleotide long non-coding RNA. RefSeq lists it as uncharacterized. The transcript has 3 exons. The record is from RefSeq and is a predicted model, not a curated record. NCBI's taxonomy places the organism in Eukaryota, Metazoa, Mollusca, Bivalvia, Myida, Dreissenidae.